AUUUGAUCAUCAUUGCCCUUGGGUCUCAAAUUGUGUGGGGAAGAGGAAUAAGCGGGACUUUUUCAUUUUCCUUUGUAUGGGUUCAUUGACAUCUAUAAUUGGUGCUGCGAUUGCUCUUCAAAGAAUUUGGACAUCAGUACCAUUGUUGGUAGCUGAUGAAUCGUGGUUACAUCAUGUUUUCUUUGCGUAUCCUGGUAUAAUCGCUUUUCUGUUCAUGGAUGGGGUUAUUCUAAUUGCUUCUGUAACUCUCUGUGUAAUACAGAUAUCCCAGAUAGCUCGGAAUCUCACAACAAAUGAGAUGGCAAAUGCUGUGAGAUAUGGUUAUCUUCGUGGUCCAGAUGGGAGGUUCCGAAAUCCCUAUAACCAUGGAUGUCGGAAGAAUUGCUCUGACUUCCUUAUCAAUGGUUACACAAAUGAUGAUGAGAUAGCAUGGCCACCAUUGCAGCAUGCCGCGAGCUAGCAGCAUUUACAAUCCCUGCUUGCUAAAGGAUGCAUAUGUUACCAGACCCCUCUAGGUGACCUCUUCAGUGUUUGUGAAGG
This 540-nucleotide unclassified non-coding RNA is filed under the name Hevea brasiliensis (rubber tree). The record is from RNAcentral. Lineage: Eukaryota; Viridiplantae; Streptophyta; Magnoliopsida; Malpighiales; Euphorbiaceae.